GCAGUCGUGGCCUACUGGUUAGGGCUUCAGGCUUGUAACCGGAGGGUUACCGGUUCGAUCCCAGACCAGUACA
Molecule: transfer RNA, 73 nt
Filed under: Alosa alosa (allis shad)
Lineage: Eukaryota; Metazoa; Chordata; Actinopteri; Clupeiformes; Clupeidae
Description: tRNA-OTHER
Source: RNAcentral